CCUGCCAUGGCCCGGAGUAUCCCUGCCAAUGCAGCUUGUUUCCUGGCUUAUGAGUUGACGAGAUCUAGCCUCGGCUGAUUUGAUUGAUUGUUAUAACCAUUGUUGUUUCGUCAGGUUGAUUGUUUGCUGAUUAUGACCCUGCAUCUUGCUGCCAUUGAAUGAAAAAGGGUUCAAAUGUUAAUUCUUUUCUUUCCUUUUCUCCUGGGUUAUCAAUGCAGUCAAGCAAAGUCUGAUUGUUCAGUUGCCUAUGUGGUUUACCAGUACAAUGAACGGAAAAAGUCGUAACGGUUCCGAUGACUGAAAUUACUAGUAAACAUAACUCGAACACUAAAACUUGUCAAUUUUACGAGUGUGCAUCGUUUCCUCAUUCGACAAUUCCACAGAAAACUCGCAGCUUUAAACAACUACUGAACUACAUCUGAUAAAACCCACCUGAAUUGUGGGAUUGUGUUGACUGUGUCCUAACAAGACUAGUUACGUCUCUUUUUUCCAUGUUUAUAAAGAAUUUUUAAUAAGAAAUUAAUCAUGGAGCUUGGUUAGCUUAAGAAUAGUCGGUAAGAAGAAGUUUUCUCAAAAGGGGUAUCAAUAAAAAUAGGAAGGAAAACUAUGAAACAGUCAGAUCUCACACCACAAAACUAGGAAGCCUAUAAAUAGCAGUCAGUAACAAACAAUAAACACAGCACAAUGAAGUAGAAGAAGAAAUCUCUUCUUUUAGAGACUCAGAACUUCCAGAGAAAGCAAUCAAACAAAGAAAAAAAAGAGUAUUCGAGAUAUCGAGUAGGGAUUAAUUGGUCUGAGUAAUUAAUCAUGGCAACAGUAAUGCAGGAAGAAGCAGGAAGAACAGUGCAGAAGGCAGCCACUCACCAUUUCCCUCCUGUUCCUCUUGUUUCCAGACUGGAUCAUUUGGAUUCCCUUGUAAGCCUUCAUUUCUCCUUCAUCCUUUUUUUAUUAUAACUUUCGUUGUAAUACUAUGUGUUGAUCGAUCUGUGU
Molecule: long non-coding RNA, 990 nt
Filed under: Linum usitatissimum (flax)
Lineage: Eukaryota; Viridiplantae; Streptophyta; Magnoliopsida; Malpighiales; Linaceae
Description: long non-coding RNA (LUSI_LNC005887)
Source: RNAcentral